AGGCUGUAAUGGUGAGACAGGCAUAAUCCCUGAUCAUGGAACCUAUGGGCACAAGGCAGUCAACAGUUAAAUACACACAAUAUUUAUAAGUUACAAUGAAUUAAACGAAGGAAAAGACGAGGAACUAAGAGACAGCCUAAUUGGAGGAUCUCAUUUAGAUUGGGAGGCUGGGGAAAGUCUCCAUGAAGAAGUGUUAUCUACACUGAAACCUGAGAAAAGUUGGUAGAAUUCAGGCCAAAAGUGGGAGAAGGAGCAUUUCAGACAGAGGGAUCAACCUUGUGGAAGCCCUGUGGUGGGAGAGAGCUUAGAAUUGAAAUGAGGUUAGGGGCCACCACAGGGAAACUGGAGACACAUAAGUGAUGGGAGCUUGGCCAGGACCAACUUCCUGUAGGCAUUCCAAUUGCAAUUGCCAUUUAUAAGUUUUCAGCAGAUAAAUCAUAUGGUCGAACUUAGGUCCUAACACAUCUGUCUACUGCUAAAUAGAAGAAUGGGUGCCACUUAAGAAUGGGUUCAAUGUAACGAGGGCAAAAGUAGAAGUGAGGAGACCAGCUGUGAGGCUAUUGCAGUGGUCCUGGUGUAGGAUGUGGGUGGCUUGGACUUGGGUAAUGGCAGUGAAUUGACAGACAUGAGUGAAACUGUGAGAUGUUUUAGGAGUAGAAUUGUUAGGACAUGCGGAUCAACUGUAUAUACAGAGUGAGAAAGGGAAAGGGUACUCUCGUGUUUCAGGGUGUCUGAAUUGGUUUACUGAUAUCUGGGGGGAUCAGAAGAGUUCAGGUCCAGCCAGGUUGCAAUUGAGAUGCCUCUGAGACAUCCAAUAGGAGGAUGUCAUUGGAUACAGGAGUUAGGAGCUUAGAUACACACUUGGGAGAACUCGGCACAGGUGGUAUGAAAGUGGUGGGCUGGUGAGAUUGCCUAGGGAGAGAAAACACGGAGAGGAGUCCCAGGGCUGAGCCCAGACCUCUGAACAGAAGAAGGAGUCAUGGAGAAACCCAGAAGAAUGAGGUGUCACAGGCAAAGAAAAAUUGGAUGCUCCGGAAGGAGAGAGGUCUGUCUCACGAAGAGAGAUAAAAGCAGCUGGGACCACAUAGAGAACCAGGAUGAUGACUAAUUUCCCGCAAUAAACAAAUAAACUCAAAAUCUGAAUAUGGCCUUUAGACCUUGGAUGAGCUGAUUUUCCUCAGAGGAUCCAGAUUUUGUGAAGCUGUCCCAUUCAAAGCCACCCCCAGAGGCCCGGAGGAGACCACAAAGCUGCGAACACAGCCGGGACCUGCCCACUGACACACUGAAGAGUCAACACGAUUCAGGAAAGCACUUUCAAAGAGUGUUUUAUCUUGGACAGAUAAUAUUCCGUUUUGUUUCUGAGAGGCAAUGACAAUCUCUAGUUCGAUUGUAAAACUAUUUCCUUCAAAUAUACAUUUUUAUCUAUGGAGAGUGGUGUUAUUUGGGGUUUUACAAACCUAAGAAGUUUACAUUUGGCAACAGUGAUUGUUCCCAUUACAACUACAAUGUAAAAAAACAGAUUCUCUUUUGGUGUGCAUCCUCCCCUCUUUGGUUUCGAGGGUGACUUUCCCACGCAUAUCUGCCACUCACUUGGGAAGUCCUAGUCUGGAAACAUUUUAGCAAAUACGUAACCAUCGUUCCAUUGUGGCCCACACAUUUGCCUGACCUGACAUUCUUCCCCAAAACUCUUAUAUUUGCAAACUAAAACAUUAGCUCUUGAUUCCCUCCUCUUCCACCUUUUAAAACUAAAAAUAGCUCUUCCAGAUAGGCUGUUUUCAUUUUUUUUUUUUUUUUAAUCGCAGCUGCACUCUGUUAUUUUAACAAAACAACUGGCAGGUCUCUAUUCACAGAGCUGCUUUAGCCACAUAGGAUACAUAAGAUGCAUAAUCAAUAUGUUCUUUAAAAGACUCUCUUAAUCAGAAAAGAUGCUAACUACAUGUAAAAUUAUUCACUUACAUAUAUUGGUUUGUGCAAUUUUCCACAGUGACAGUAAAGUUGGUAGCUAAAUAUGUUUUUAUACAUAACAAAACUUAGCGAAUGUCUUUUGUAAGGCAUGCAUUGUGAGGGUAGUAUUAAUAUUUGUGUUUCUACGUUUAUAUUCCACCAUCCCCUAGUAAAGAUGUUCUAUUUUAUACAGAGUUGUAAACCACUUUGAAAUAUAGUGAGAUGCUCUAUUUUGAAUAAAAUCAGGUUACUGAUGUACUAAAUAGGCAGCGUCUGGACAAAAGCAAGCCUCACUGAAGGUGGGUUAGUUCCCUCUAGAGCCUGUCCCCAGUCCUGAGUUCUCAGACUUUUCUCAGUGUUUCCCUUUAGUGAAAAGGAGCCAGGAUUAGCCAUGAGCAGUCAUGGUCAAUGUUCUGAGAAGUUUUGAGAAGGAAACUCCUCUUCAGCAAAAGAACUUUCAUUCUCUCCUUCUUCCUGUGAAAUGGCACUCUAAAGGUGACCAAGGCAACCCAAAGAAAGAUACCUGUUUGCAACAUCUAUUUUUGCUUUUCAGAAAUAGGAUUUAGUUGCCAAUUAGAAAGCCAGAAAGCAAAGAAGAUCCCUGCACUGCCACUUAGAAUGGUUAUAGCCACACACUAGCAGAAACUGAAAGAUUCAUCGGAAAACAACCCCCAAUCCUUGGCCUUGCAUUUAAAUGUGAAUGGGGCUGUGUGUCUACCCUGCCUUCUUGCUUUCCUUCCUUUACAUGAUUCCUGCCAUGUCUAAAGCAGGCAUACCCAUACUGUUGAAUCUUGGAGUAACUGACAGUGUCCAAAUGAUACCCUGGAUUUAAACAGUUUCAAGCACAGUAGACACAUUGUCACCAGACAGCCAGUGGUGGGAAACCAGUGUGUGUAGGAUGCAGGGAUCACGAGGGAGCAGCCACAGAGGCAGUGACUGCUUUCUGCCUUCAGAGAGCCCAGCCUCUGCACACACAGGCAUCCACAGACACAAAGCCACAUCCUUAUCAACAGAGGGGACAGGAAUAUGACAUUCUGCACACAGCCAAACACCUUAGAGGACUGAGGUACUGAGGACAAAAUAUUUAAAGCCAGUAAAGCUGGAAGUUGAGUGGGCAAAAAAGCAUACAUACUUUCAUAGACCCAUUUUUCUAGUAAUAAAUUCCACGGUUUUUUCUCAUUACCACAAAUAUACACAUACAAAGGUAAAGAAACUAUAUAGGCAAUUAUUUAAGUUCUCUCCUUUUUCAAUUAAUAUUAACCUUUAAAACAUUAAAUACUAUUUCUGAGGAUCACAUAAUCUAAAAAAAGAAGAAAGAAAAAAAAAGCCUUUAUGUGAAUUAACCAGAAGAACUAGCACUCCCUAACAGCAGACAAAUAGGCCUCUACAACACUUUCUCACAUCUUCCUCAGGGCAACCACAAAGGAACAUCAUUGCCAAUCACAGGCGAUCUGUGCUUUGGAAACCUGAAACCACAGCGUUUUCUUCAUGUGGGCAAAGUACAUCAAAUCUGAUUAAAAUAAGCUUACACUACAAAUUGGCCUAAGCUGUGUGGAAAGUGGUUGGCAAUACAUAUCAAAGGCCUUAAAAAUGUUAUUCUACUUAAUUCAUUAAUUCCAUCUCUGGGACUAGCUCCUGGGGCAGUUAUGUGAAAUGCCACCAAAGGUUUAUAUAAAAGAUGUUUAUCUUUUAUAUUUAUAAUAGGAAAAAACAAGAAACCAUACAAACAUCCAAUUAUAGGAAAUAGUGAAGUAAGUUAUAGGAUCCUACAAUGGAAUUUAAUAAACCUAUAUUCAAUUUUAUACAUACAGGAUCCUCUAAACUGUGUAAAACAAAACAGAGGAGAGAAAAUGUUAACAUGAUUAUCUCUGGGUGGUGAGCAUUUUGGUUUUUGCCUCAUAUUUUGUAAAUUUUCUAUAAUAAGGAUGUAUUUAAUAAUCAGUAAAAGAUAUAUAUACAUAUGUACAUAUUUUUACAUAAUAUAUCAAUGUUGUACACAUCUACAAUUCAUUAAUUUCUUUGAUGUUUAUAACAUAAUAAGCUGACAGGCAAACAAGGAAUCUCAGAAUCAAAAUAAAACCAAAAUCGCUUAUAUAAUGUUUCCUUUAAAUAACCACAUUAAAAUAAAUUAGCGUUUUUUUUAUUCUUGCCAAGCAUUGCAUACCUACAUAUUUUCUUUUCUGUCCAAUAAGUAAAUUUCCUACGUAGUGAUCACUGUGAUUUUCUUUUGUGAGCAUAUGUAGGUUGAAAAUGUUCCAUGUUUUGAUUAGAAUAAUCAAGCUGUCAGGUGAGAAAUCCACAUUUCAUCAUGAUCAUCUGCAGCUCACACUUGGCACCCAAUAUACACAUAUUUAUUUUACUGACCUGGCCAUACACAAAUAAUAGCACAUGGCAAAUUUGCAAAGACAGCCCUGCUCUCAGGCCAUUGUAUUAUCUGCAAAAAUCUGUUUUCAGCAGCAGACUAUCCACAAAUUUGACCCCCUGGCUCUUUUUUCUUUUUUUAAC
RNAcentral lists this long non-coding RNA (4449 nucleotides) under Homo sapiens (human). RNAcentral describes it as "HSALNT0090060". Lineage: Eukaryota; Metazoa; Chordata; Mammalia; Primates; Hominidae. The record is from RNAcentral.